Molecule: small nuclear RNA, 103 nt
Organism: Elaeis guineensis (African oil palm)
Lineage: Eukaryota; Viridiplantae; Streptophyta; Magnoliopsida; Arecales; Arecaceae
Source: RefSeq, a predicted model, not a curated record
GUCUCCUCGGAAACAUCCAAUAAAAAAGGAACGAUACAGAGAAGAUUAGCAUGGCCUCUGCAUAAGGAUGGCACGCACAAAUUGAUAAAUGGUCUAGAAAAGA